AUGAAUAACGUCACCAAAAUGGAUGUGAUCAGAGUUGUGCACACUGGGUCUGCCUCUGCUUUGUAUUUGGAGUGCCUUGGUACAUCUAGCAUGCUGGGAGCUUUGCCAUGUGUGCAGCAAGAUUCUCCACGCCCCGAGACUCUGACAUUCCUGAGCUUCCACCGCAGGCUUCAGUUUGGUGACUGCUCUCUCUGGCUGAACUUCUGGAAGGUCGCAAUAGCAGCUUUAUCCAUGGCAGCACAAAGCAGUUUCCUCUGCUGGAGAUGAAAAGAAAGAUGUUUCAUUUUUUUUGUUUGUUUGUUUUCUUCAGUGAGGCAAUUGGGGUUAAGUGACUUGCCCAGAGUCAUAGAGCUAGGAAGUAUUAUGUAUCUGAGGCUGGAUUUGAACUCAGGUCCUCCUGACUUCAGGGCCAGUGCUGUAUCCACUGUGCCACCUAGCUGCCCCAAAAGAAGACAUUUCAAAGAAAGGUGGAGGGAUCAUAAGGCUCAGGCAGUGGGCCUGGCAGCCAGACUGCCCAAGGACCCUUCACUGUUGCCAAUUUAAAUGUUAAAUAUGUGAAAAAAAAGUUUGAGAAGCAUUGCCUUAAUUCUCACUCUAAUCCAUCUGUAGGUACAAGCCUAGCUAUGGCCCUCCUCUAUUCUGAAUACCAGUAGCUCCCUAUUACUUCUAGGAUCAAAUAGAAAGUGUUUAGCUUUACCACCUGGCCCCAAUCUAACUUCAACCUUGCAUAUUACUUUCCUUCCUGAACUCUUACGUCUAGCUAUAUAGGCUUUCUGAGGGAUUUUGGUAGUGCAGUGGCUGCAGUACUGGCCCUUGAGUCAGGAAGACCUGAGUUCAAAUCUAGCUUCAGACACCUACUAGCUUUAUGGUGGUGGGCAAAUCAUUUAACCUCUGUUAGCUUCAGUUUUCUUAUCUGUAAAAUGGGGAUAACAACAGUACCUACUUCUCAAGGUUGUUGUGAGGGUCAAGUGAUAGAAUAUUUGUAAAGUGCUUAGCACAGGGCCUGUCACAUAGCAGGCACUUAAUAAAUCUUCCUGCCUUGCUUCUCUCCUUCUUGCU
This 1059-nucleotide long non-coding RNA is filed under the name Phascolarctos cinereus (koala). Its description in RNAcentral is "lncRNA (ENSPCIG00000036377.1)". The record is from RNAcentral. Lineage: Eukaryota; Metazoa; Chordata; Mammalia; Diprotodontia; Phascolarctidae.